AUAAAACCUUUUUUUUUUUCCGUUCUUCACUAUAUUUGAAACAACCGUUCAAACAUAAAAUUAUUUUCAAAUUUCAUUAUAAAUAUUUAAUUAUAAAACCAUUGUGUGUUUUAUUACUGCCGAAAGCCUUAAACUUCGAGGGUUUUCUGUCCAAAGUAUCACAGCAAAUAAGACCAUAACCGUUGACUUUCUUACAAUUUGGUCAAAGAUCUUUUAACUUAAUUAGUCUGACAAAAUAUUUACAGCUAUUCUACCAGCAUUUAAUUAUUCUGGCGUGAAGUAUUCGAGUGUCACGAUGCUCUUCAGUGAAGUAAACGGACGUUCGACCACUAGCGCUGCGUGGUGGCUGGUUACCGUCUACUGUUAACACUGACGUCAAAUCACAGUCAAAGCUUGUGCUGCCGUCAGAAGUGUACAUCAGAUUCCAUUCUAUAUUGUUUGUCUUGGUCUUGUUUUGGAUGUGAGGGGAAAAUCAGAUGGUGGGUUUUUGGUUUUUGCAAUUACGUUAUUUUGUGGUAUGAAAAAUCCGUCCAGUAUUCCAGAUACGAAUUUGAUGAAAUUGGAAUUGAAAACAGCCAUGUGAUAAAAUGGAAAAUGAAAACAGAAUUGAAAUGCAUGACGCAUUUUUCGCUUAAGGUUCUCUCGGGUAAACAUUGUCGGGUUGUAGAUGAACCCUGAUGUGAGCAAUGGCAUCAGCUACAAAACAUUUCCCCCCAUAUUCAACACAAAAUGUGAAGCAGUUUGCUCAUGGGCACAUCUGCUUGGCUUGAUAGGUAAACUCAGGGUAUAAUAUUCAUUCAGAAUAUCGGCAUCUUGUUUGAAUAACAUAAAGCAGACGACAUUUUUAGUGUCAUGACCCCAUUACGGCUAUCAGGAGAUCUUUCCCAAAUUUUGGUUGAAUGAGCCGAAUUUUCUUGGGUUUUUUUUUUAACUUUUUCCCCUUGUGUGAUAAGAGGCACGGCGCUGCGUUUAACUUUCCAUCCUGAGGGAGUCUAUUUGUCCUUUUUGGGAAAAUUACUCCGUUUACGACAGACUCUCUGCUGCCGCGCGAGGAGAAGGGCGAUUGACCUCACAGCUUUCACAUUACUACCCAUGAGAUGUUUACGAUUAAAAGCCUAUCUUCUCUCUUUCCAAUUUCUUAACCCCUAACUAAAACUUUUAAUUUUUAUCGAAAACUCUAUCCUGAAAACAAAAUUACCAUUUUCUUUUACAUAUCCUGCAUUUACGCUAAUAGAAUUAAAAGGUGCUAGCAGCUGUGUCCACAACUCCAAUAAGUAAAAUCUAAUAUGACAAAUUGCCAGAGACAGUAAUUCAGCUUCUCCUCCACUUCUCCCAACAAGGGCCAUCUUAGACUGUCACAGCAAAACAAGGGUGUUUCUAACUGUGCACUUAAACUUGAGACGACUUGCCUGAGCCGGAAACAUGCAAAAUCGAUGCUUUGUAACGUACCGGCGUCUGGUUGUAUGCGGAUGGUUUCCUUUUAACCAAAAGUAACUUGAGUGUGAGAUAAUUCUUUCGCUAAAAACCGUGUGUAUUGUUACAUGGCAACGUGGUUGUGCAGUGAGCAUUAAUUCGAUCUCUCUUUUUACAGUUUGCAAUCACGAGAGUUGUAAGUUAAUGUUAAAGAGCAAUAAUGAAUGUAGUAUCGGGUGGCUGUUGCACUAUAUAAUAAUAAUACGUAUGACAAAAAAGAAAGGCACCUAAUUGUGGAUCACGGGGGCGUUAUGGUUAUAAACAAAGCCAGUUAUUUAUAUUACUUUGAAUUUGUCGAUAGUUCUCAACUAAUAAAAGAUUUCGCUGGGUUGUGGUUCAAGUUGGCAGUGGCAUUAAUGCGUGCAAUGAAUUUCGUUAUUACCAAUCAAUGAUGAUGUAGUAGUCACUUGUUAGCCGAAGCUUGUGAAAGGUCUUGUUGUAACUCAACAUCUCCUCUACUUUGAGGCAAAAGUUCUAAAUUGCCUCGGGAAGACAUUUUGAAAAGCCUGGAGACGUAGAGCGCCUGUUGUUUUUUUUUUUUUUUUUUUUGGCAAUUCAAACAGACAGAAAACGGAGAUGGUUAGAUUUCACAGCAGCCAUAUGUUGUAGAUAAGAAAAGCUGAUACCGUUAACGAAGCGGCGAUGGAACCGAUGAGAAAUCCCGACAACACGUCGCUCCUAAAAAAGUGACGCAAGCGCCGGUUUUUAUGUUUAUGUGUACACAUUUAAUAGACAAGUGUUUGCAUUGCUAAGCUUCAACUAAACUCACCAGUGAUGUUUGUAGUCGGAAACUCGUGUAAGGCCAGUAUACCAAGAAAGCAACAAUGCAGAAAUCUGGAUGGUGGGUCGGAGCAACUUUGAGCCAGACCAGUUCAUCCUGCGCUGAAGAUACAAAGCCAAAAACAGCAUCGUGUAAGCCGAAAAGGAAGCAUGGCCAGAUGGGAAAGACAAUCUGAAAUGCAGAUGAUGAACAAGGGGGGAAGAGUUAUAAAUGUUCAGCGAAGUAUCAGGGACGAUUUAAAUGAAGCGUGAAAAAAAAAAAAUCCCACUUUGAAAAGAGAAACAAAUAAGAAUUAUUUUUAGGAUACCGCUGGCUAUUACCUAGAUUCUCGGACGAGAUCCUCGUCGCUACCCGUACAUUUGUAAUUGGUGAUGUACGUGUGUGGCGCGUUCGACGAGCACAAUUCCGCUAGGUUUUCCGGCUGACAGACGGCAAUAAAAUGAGGACUAUAUAUAAAAAAAAAUGUUUGAAAUAGUACAUCCGUUAAAAUAAAAUGGGAUUAUUUCAGGAGAAAGGAAAAAUGGCAGAGUUCCAUUUUCGUACCGGAGACGACCGAUGGUAUAUUUGCCAAAAUCUGUUACUAGCUGAGAGCAGGCUGCACCGAAGAGGAAGAUGGCGACCAGAUGAAUGAUUUCGGCAAUCACCGACGGAAUUCGAACUGACGAUGAAAGAUUGAUUGUGGAACAACUGUUUUGUCUGCUCAACUUUUUAGAGUGUGAGUUGUUUCUCCAACGAACAACUUCCACGAUGAACAUCUGUUUGAAUCAAAAAAGAAAAAAAAAUUCCAAUGAAAUACAAUUAUCAAACACAACCAAGUUUGGCUUGUCGCUGACGGUUAGAUCGAUCCAUCGAGCGAACGGUCCUCGUUACUAAGAAAAAGACAAUAGACAAGGCAUCCGCCACAAACGGAGAAGACAAUAAAAAAAAAGUUUCCAAUCAAGAUAAUUGUGUUUGAUAGAUGAAAGCCAUAGAAGUAAGUAGCGAUGAAGAAGGAAAAAAAAAGCAGUUAAGUGCGAUCGAUCGAUCCAGCCAAACAACAGCAGCCACAAAGCCAAAAAUAAAAUAAAACAUAAAACAGAGGACUCUUUCACUCAUCCCCCGGUCGUCUGGUUUCUUUUUUCUGAAUGUUAUUAUUAUACCGAUGCGAUGGGCAGGCCGAGCCCGAAACAGUAGAGCAUAACGUUGGUGACAGUCGAGUUCUUGAAAGGAUAGCGAAUGGAAUUGUCAUCGCAGUAGAAUCCUCGCUGGAACGGCUUGCCGAGCAGGUGCAAAAGUAGGACGGGCAACCAAACUGUUGUAUGUGUGAGUUAUACGAAAUGUAUAAUUGUUUUUCCAGACCGAGGAUGUCGUCAUUAAUCUCAGUUCUUUCAACCAACCCGACAUCUCCAGCUGCCGUUUAAAAGUGUGUGUUCCACCUCACUCUUUCUCGAAAUACCAUUAAAAAGUAGAGAC
This 3706-nucleotide long non-coding RNA is filed under the name Daphnia magna. RNAcentral describes it as "uncharacterized LOC116925518". The record is from RNAcentral. Lineage: Eukaryota; Metazoa; Arthropoda; Branchiopoda; Diplostraca; Daphniidae.